Molecule: small nucleolar RNA, 71 nt
Organism: Cynoglossus semilaevis (tongue sole)
Lineage: Eukaryota; Metazoa; Chordata; Actinopteri; Pleuronectiformes; Cynoglossidae
Gene: SNORD18
Rfam family: Small nucleolar RNA SNORD18
About the family: U18 is a member of the C/D class of snoRNA which contain the C (UGAUGA) and D (CUGA) box motifs.
Source: Ensembl
CAUCAAUGAUGAGCUUUCACUUCAGGUCCGUGUUUUUGAAUCCAUGUGAUAUCCACCGAAGUUCUGAGUUU